CUACGGGCUGCUGCAGUGAGGAAUAUUGCACAAUGGGGGGAACCCUGAUGCAGCAACGCCGCGUGGAGGAUGACGCAUUUCGGUGUGUAAACUCCUUUUAUAUGUCAAGAAAAUGACGGUAGCAUAUGAAUAAGCACCGGCUAACUCCGUGCCAGCAGCCGCGGUAAUAGGAGGGUGCAAGCGUUACUCGGAAUCACUGGGCGUAAAGGACGCGUAGGCGGGUUGGAAAGUCAGGUGUGAAAUCCUACAGCUUAACUGUAGAACUGCACUUGAAACUUCUAAUCUAGAGUAUGGGAGGGGGAGAUGGAAUUAGUGGUGUAGGGGUAAAAUCCGUAGAUAUCCCUAGGAAUACCUGAAGCGAAGGCGAUCUCCUGGAACAUUACUGACGCUAAGGCGUGAAAGCGUGGGGAGCAAACAGGAUUAGAUACCCGGGUAGUC
RNAcentral lists this ribosomal RNA (438 nucleotides) under uncultured bacterium. Its description in RNAcentral is "partial 16S ribosomal RNA". It matches the Rfam family "Bacterial small subunit ribosomal RNA", at positions 339 to 795 of the family's 1533-position model. The record is from RNAcentral.